AAAGACUUAUGCAGCCAAGAAUGACUUGCCGAUCUAUCUCCAUCGACUGUUCGAAGAGGAAGAAAGUUCUAUAUAUAUUCCCUGUGAGAAGACUCGAUUGGCCUGACGGGGGUUAAUGGAAUCGGCAAGUUGAUCUUGGCUACAUGUUUCUUCCG
RNAcentral lists this microRNA precursor (155 nucleotides) under Punica granatum (pomegranate). Lineage: Eukaryota; Viridiplantae; Streptophyta; Magnoliopsida; Myrtales; Lythraceae. The record is from RNAcentral.